AGUAGGGCUCCUAUACUUUUAUGAGUAUAUAGAGUUGAGUUAGAAUACUAUCGAUAGCAAAUGGGCUCCGUUGCCAUUCAUUUGUUUUCGAUGAUGGAGCCUCCAAAUCGACAAUCGGCAUCGUUGAACAUGAUCCAUACCACUUGAAGUGUUUAGAAAUCAAACUUCAUACAUUUCUAUAUUAUUCUCUUAUCCAUCAAGUGGACACAAAAAUGAACGGCUGAAAAUAAAUAUUUUUUAAAAAAUGAUGAUAGGAGUCUUAUAAUCAAGAUCAAGAGUAUAGAUCUUGUUUUAAAUAGUUUAAAGAAUUUUAUAACAAAAAUUCAAUUGAUUUGAAUAUCUUUACGCCAUUAAACGAGAAAACGCCUCAUAUCGACUAUUAAAAUUACAAAUUUUGAAACCCUUUGAUCAUUAGGCAAAUGAUGUCGAAAAGAUUUGAAAUUUGAUUUCUAAACACUUUAAGUGGUAUAGAUCAUAUUCAACGGUGCCGAUCGUCGAUUUGGAGGCUCUAUCAUUGAAAACAAAUGGGUGACAACGGAGCCCGUUUGCUAUCGAUAGUAUUUUAGCUCAA
Molecule: long non-coding RNA, 571 nt
Filed under: Ananas comosus (pineapple)
Lineage: Eukaryota; Viridiplantae; Streptophyta; Magnoliopsida; Poales; Bromeliaceae
Description: long non-coding RNA (ACOM_LNC039546)
Source: RNAcentral